RNAcentral lists this ribosomal RNA (433 nucleotides) under uncultured bacterium. RNAcentral's name for it is "partial 16S ribosomal RNA". It matches the Rfam family "Bacterial small subunit ribosomal RNA", at positions 29 to 507 of the family's 1533-position model. The record is from RNAcentral.
AACGAACGCUGGCGGCAUGCCUAACACAUGCAAGUCGAACGAGACCUUCGGGUCUAGUGGCGCACGGGUGCGUAACGCGUGGGAACCUGCCCUUAGGUUUGGAAUAACUCCCCGACAGGGGUGCUAAUACCGGAUAAUGUCUUCGGACCAAAGAUUUAUCGCCUUUGGAUGGUCCCGCGUUGGAUUAGCUAGUUGGUAGGGUAAAAGCCUACCAAGGCGCCGAUCCAUAGCUGGUCUGAGAGGAUGAUCAGCCACACUGGGACUGAGACACGGCCCAGACUCCUACGGGAGGCAGCAGUGGGGAAUAGUGGACAAUGGGCGAAAGCCUGAUCCAGCAAUGCCGCGUGAGUGAUGAAGGCCGGAGGGUUGUAAAGCUCUUUUACCCGGGAUGAUAAUGACAGUACCGGGAGAAUAAGCUCCGGCUAACUCCGUG